This 74-nucleotide small RNA is filed under the name Xanthomonas campestris. Its description in RNAcentral is "sRNA sX9". It matches the Rfam family "Xanthomonas sRNA sX9". RNAcentral also lists the same sequence under 2 other names. The record is from RNAcentral. Lineage: Bacteria; Pseudomonadati; Pseudomonadota; Gammaproteobacteria; Lysobacterales; Lysobacteraceae.
AUGUACCACUCGUACACUACGGUUCCUGCGCCGUCCACUUCCACUUGACGACUGCUCGCUACGCUUAGUUAGCC